This is a non-coding RNA of Taeniopygia guttata (zebra finch), 6901 nucleotides long. Lineage: Eukaryota; Metazoa; Chordata; Aves; Passeriformes; Estrildidae. The record is from RefSeq and is a predicted model, not a curated record.
GAGGGGGAAAUCCCUUUUAGUUUUGCGAUUAGGCUGCCAGGCUUUGUAAAGGGCUUAAAAACAAAGUCAUGCUCAGUCUUUUGUAGGAGAGAUCCAGAUGUUAUGUAGAUUUCUGUGUGCAUGUUCGUUUCGAGCGGAUCCGGCGGUGAGCGCAGUAUUUACGUGUGUGUGUUGCUGGACUUUACCGUUUAUCGACGUUGCGCUUGUGGAAUGUAUGCUGGAGUAUUAGCUCGGUAAUGCCUUCUAAUGGUAGUGCUAAUUACAGUGGGGUUAUUUAGCAAAUUAAGUGAGAUGAUGCACCCCCCCAACCCUUGAGUACCGAAUGAACUUUUCCGAACACACAGGCACACACAGGCACACACACACACACACACACACACACGAGCGCGCGCGUUAAUUUUGGUGCGUUUCUCUCGCCCAAUCACUUCGCUGAAGCUACACCAUGCCUUACCUCAGAGCAGUCAAUUACCAAAGCUACCCGGGAUCAUCAAUCAUGGGGGAUGCUUGAAGUUUAGGGGAGGAGCGAUGGUCAAACUAUCGAUUGCUGCAGUUUUGUCCUCCCCAACCCCCCACCCUCGUUCACGGUCCCCUGCACAUAAAAUCUAAAACAGACUAUCCCGUUAAUAGUGGAAUUUAUCAAUGAUUAUGUACCCGUUUGUGAAUGUGGCCUCAUACAUAGAUGGCUUUUGAAAACACACGGCAGAAAAUAUAUUAUUCCGUUAGAUUUUGCUUUGCUUUGCUUUUCGUGGUGAUGACGAUGCUUUUCAGAGGUUUAGGGGUUUUUUUUAACUUUAAGAAAAUGACUCAAGGGGUAGUUAUAGAUAUUUGGCCUGAUUUUAAUAGGCAAAGGGAAUGAGCUCCAGAGGUCAAUAAACCCCUCCAAAAUGAUGAAUGAUUGAGUACCUGUGAUGAUGAUAGUGAUUACCGGAGCAAUUAAACAGUUUGAUUAAAUGAGCCAUCAUAACAAUGAUGUCUGCGGGAAAUCAGCCCUCACGUAUAAAGAAAGAUAGUGUGGAGAGCUGACAAACGCCAGUGGGCAUUCCUGCAUGUUCCGCUAGCGCCGAGCCCUGCAGAGCAGGGCUGUAUUUACAAAUAUGAGGGGAAUACGCAGAAAAGUCCCUCUCCUACUUAUAGCCAGAGUUGCACCCUGCUUAAAACCCGCCAGAAGCCGGAGAGCAGCGACGGGUUUUUUUUUCCUAGAGGAUCUCCUCCAAGAUAAAAGCUAGUCCUAAGAGCAACCGAAUUGCUGUGACUGACUUUCACGGGACUGUAAAGAGAGAAAUCUCUGUAGAUCUCAGCUGCCCUGACUAAGAAAUCCUGAGAAAACAGACUAAAGUCAAAGCUGAAAAAAAGCAUCCAAAGACUUGUGCAGUGUUCAGUGCUGCUCCUUUCAAUUGUUUAAUUUUUUCCCCCCUCCUAAAGUAAUUAACCCCCUGCGCUGUCUUGCCCUGCUGUGCAUGUUUGUAAUCUGGGACAGAGACCAACUUUUAAAAAUUAUUCUAACUUGAUAGAAAGUUAAAUUUCAUAUAGUAAAUUAAGAUCUUUCAUGUUCCUCCUGUGUCUUUUUUUUCCACGUGAAAAGACUUGAAGCCUUUUUCCUCAUCACUAUCCCAGUGGAUUAAAGCACACAGAGAACGUGGUAUAUAAAGCGCUACAGUUUAGCCAUUAAAAAGGGAUCUCAAUUUAGCGCCCUUAAGUGAAUGUACUCAUCUAUUAACAAAGAUGCUGUUGGGAACUCGGAGGAAAAUGGGAUACGUGUGAGCAGAAAGUGAGGGCUUUCACAUACUUAGGUGAUUUUUAUUUACACCCCCCCCCCCCACUAGUGACAUUUCCUUUUUUAAAAAAAGCAAUUCGGGAAAAUUAAAAUGGGUAAUUUCCAUUGCUCCUGAAUCGCUUCCAGAGCGAGGGCUGUUUUCAGGAAAAGUGUGAGAUAGAUACGAGUCGGGGUGGUGACUGGUUUUUUCUUUUUUUUUUUUUUUUUUUUUUUUUUUUUUUUUUUGAUAGAUCGGCUCAAAAGUCCAAAGAGAAAUGAGGUGUCCGGUAUGGAAGUGCAUCUCAGUCAACCGCCAGCUCCUUUUGCCGAGGCUGGAAAUGGUUUUAACAGGCGGUAAAAUUUCAUCUUGUGGUGUCAAAUUGGGGUCAGUUUGGGGUUAGCGCUCUCAGUGUCCGAGCAGGAGCUGUCCAGCUGUGUGGGGAUUCAUUAAGGGCAAAAGAUCCGUUUCAAGAAAAACAAUACAAAGACAAUCAGAGGGCUAAAGAUCCUCUUCAAAUCGCAUUUUACAAGUGCACCAGAACAAAUAUGGAUGCUGAAACCUAUUCCCUUCAAACUCCCAAAUCGGCUUCUUAGCCCUCGGAAGGAGCGAGAGAGAAAAUCCUCUAAAAGUUAAGAAGAGUCUGUUUUCAAUCAGCCUUUCCGAAGUGUGGCAUCUUAGUCCUUUGCUGGCUUUGAGGCAUGCCUCUCUUGCUUGCUCGUUACAUCUCUCCCCGCCUCCCUCUCUCUCUUUUUCCACAGCCUUACAAAAGCGGAUGGCACAACAGGUAAUAUUUCAGAUUUCAAGAAUAAAUCCCACCGGAGAUCUUAAACCGCUGUUUUGCACGCGCGUGUGCUCCUAUCACAAGAUUUAAUGCAAAUAGAAAGUUUUUAGAGGGAAACAAAGCCAUGCUUGCAAGAAAUCCUAUUGUACCCUGUAGGAAAUUUUGAGCUCUCCUUGUAGGUGAUCCUCCGGUCCGAUGGGUAAUUUAGGCUAGAUUUACUUUCCGGUUUUUAGCACUUGUGGAAAGCACCUAUUGCUAAUCUGGUUUAUUAAAUUCGCAUGGUUUAAAUCCUCUUAACGUCCCUACAUCUGUUAGGACAAUUGACGCCUUGCUACAGGGACAAAUAACUUGAACCUUAAUCUUGUUUGUAACUUUAUUCAAUGUUUGUUUGUUUGUGUGCUGAGUUCAAGUAUUUUGGAGGAUGCCAUUGUGUUCGGUAACACGUAGACUGCAUUUGAAAACAAAACUCCUCUUAGACGGGUCAGGGUUAUCCUGCAACACAGUGAAAAAUUUAGCAUAUUCGAACAGGCUUUUUAUCUCGAACUAUCAUUCUGGGCAAUGUGUCAUAAUUAAUGAAGAAAGUAAUCUGUCUGUUCAAAUAUGGACGCUGGACAUCACUGUGACACCGUAGUGAAAUUCACGUGAAUUUUACUUUUUGUUUUACUUGCAACGCGAAGUAUAGAGUUUAAAUAGUACCUUUUUCUUUUUAUAUUCAGGAUUGUGCCACAGUUAAAUUCCUACCCCCAAACCCGAUCUUUACCACACUCUCUUUUGCCCUUACGGGUUGCUUUUUACAACUUCAGUCACUUUUUAUUCGUCUCAGCACUCUUUGAUUCGCCUCCGACUUCCCGCAGCUGCAAGACUUUCGAGGUCCCAUCUCGGGUGCCCCUGUGAAAUCAUGCACAUUUUAGCUUCUGCAGAUCACUGGGUUCAUUUAGCUCCUCACCCUGAUUCCCCCGCCUGCCAGCGGUGUGCUUCGCUUUUCAGUAAUGUAUUAUUAUUAUUUGUCGAAAAACUUUCUAAUCCUGAAAGUCAAUGGUAGCCCAUCACGGUGAACUUUUCUUGACCUCGACUGUAGUAUGACUGAGAUCUUUGGGAGCUGGAUUAGGAGGAGGUUCAUUUACUUACCUGUUACUUCGCUUUUUGCUCUUUCUUCCACCCCUUCGCCCUGUGUGGUUUUUUUUUUUUGUUUGUUUUUUUUUUUUUUUUAGGGAAAAACCCCAACCCCUCACGAAACAAGAACGAUGCGGGCUCUCCCUCCCCUGCCGCCCCAGUCUCCCCUCGCUGCCGGGACGCGGGGCUGCAUCCCGGCGCUGGCGGGCUGCCCCGGCGGGCGCCGCCAUCAGCGGCCCUCUAGCGCUAUCUGGCGGGGCUCCAGCCCGAGCCGGGCCCGGCUCUCCGCCGCCGCCGCCGGGGCCGCCGCGGGGCCGGCGCGGGGCUCGCUCCGCGGCCGCAGCGCCCUCGCCCCCGGCCAGCGCCUCCCGCGGGACGCUGGUGAGGCCCAGCCCCGGGUUCCACCCCUGAGGGCCGAAACCCGCCGUGGGAAGGGGCACAGAGAUGAAGCCUUUCGAGCCUUUCGCGUUUGUCCGGCUUAUGUCAUUCGCGUGGUGUGAAGCACUAAAGUCAGAGAAGAGAUGAGUUCUUUUUUUUUUUUUUUUUUUUUAAUUAUGUUAUUUAGGCUGGAAUGUUUUUGAAAGCGGAAUGUUUGUAAAAGUGGAGACCAUAAACAGUCGACGUGUAUUUCCAUCACACGCCAGAGGGAAAAAUAAAAAAAGAAGAAGAGAAGAAAACAACCACAAACCUGUCAGGGCUUCCCACUAAUACUGUUUGCACAGGGUAGUAAAAAAUCUAGAUUACAAUUGUUCUAAGAAUCCCGAAGUAUGAAAAAAAUUUAAUCUUUCCGGUAUAACAUGGUAACCAAAAGGACAGUUAGGGCAAAGUAAAUGGCUUUAGUGCGAUACCAGAGAAUCUGCAAAGGCUUCAAACUCUCCACAAGCUCACUCAAAAUAUCUCCUUUUGUUCUCCAGCUGCCUAUAAAACUCCAGAAGAGAAGUGCUCUCAGUUUUACACUGGAGCAGAGUGUUCUUGGCCCAGAGAGGACAAUAUACUCCUACCUCUUUUGAAAUGAUCCGGAGACUCUCACAACACACAGGCAAUCACUCGAAGCACGAAUUUCCCUUUUUUUUUUUUUUUUUUUUUUUUUUUUACCCCAAGUACUGCUCGGCCCAUUGUUUGAAUUGGGAUUCAGUGCAGAGCCCAAAGAGAAAAGGAAAAAAAAAAAAUCCUGAGAGCCCGGUUUGGUAUUGCACAGAGAGAGAGCUGACAAAAUAUUAUAGCGUGUUUCCUAGAAGUACAUGGUGAGAGCCGGCGGUGUGUUCCCGAAAAGAGGUUGCUUUUUAUUUCCACUACCACCCCCCUCAAGAUUGUGAUCUUCUUUGUAUGUCUUUCUUUUGAUCCCACAAAGAGAAUGCAAUACACAUAUAUGUGUUUGCUCUCCAUACAAGAAAUGCUAUACAAUGGGAUAUGUGGCCGGUUAGCCCUCAUAAUGCUUAGUUUUGCUGUAAUUAAUUGAAAACAGUUAUUAGGUCGUCAUUGGCAAUAGCGUAAAUAAUUGCAGCAGAUUUUUACUUAAAAUUGACCGGUCAUAGAGUGAUAGAUCGAUUCGAGGUAUAAAAAUGAUGUAUCAAAACAUCAAUGUCGAUUAUUUGAAAUAUUGUAGUCGAAUCUUUUUAUUGCUUCAUCGGUUAAGUGUCUGAAAGUGCUGUGUUCCAACAUAUAUUUAUGUUGUCAAUACUGUCAAAACUGUCAGUUUUAUUACAGUGGAUUUGUAAUACAUUUCGGAUUUGCUCAUUUACAUAAAAUGUCCACCUCAGAUACCCCUCCUUUUCUCCAUCUCUGGAAAUCUGUGUCAGUUUAAUGAAAGGAUUCAAGACUCAUACCUGAAGAGGGGGGGGAAAAAAGAAAAAGGAAAGGAGAAAAAAAAAAAGGAGGUGUUGCUCCAUUAUGUCCAAUUUUAACAUCCGUUUGGAAAGCUUGGGCUAUUUCUGACUCGCCAAAAGAGGGAAUUCCUCCCCCCUUCCCCCUCCCUCCCCCGGCCCCGCUUAUUUCCCCAGUAGAAUUUAAACACUUUUCUACUCUCACACCUAGAUUAAACCAUCCAGAAGAAUUGAGAAAUUGUACAGGGUUACAGUGAGGAGCCAAAGCACACCUGUGAAUGCCGCACCCUUCCCAAAGAGAGCAACAGCCCCCCGAACCACGCACACACGCGCAGGGGUUUGAAUCCUGCUAGAAAGAAGGAGACAAAAGGAGCAAUAAAUAUGUGUGUGAUCCUUUCCUAACGGUUUGGAACCCAAAGGAAAAAAGCAAACUGUAAGCAGUGUUGGGCAUUUGAUGCCCCCCGCCCCUAUUUUAUCCGGGUCUGAUCGAUGUGAUUAUUCCCUUUAACUGUAAGAAGUGAUUUUUUUAUUGACAUGAUCUCAGGCAAAUUUUCUCCAAGAGCCCAGCUGAGGGAUAGAGAAACUCAAGAAUAAAUAAAUAAGUCCAUUUACACAAUAAACUCUCUUCGAUAGAACAAAGAGUGAAAUUAGGCAAGUAACUUUAUUUCCCACCCCUUUUCCGAGGAUGAGGGUGUUUAAAGGUGUUGGUGAGAUGGACCUGAGGGGUAUGUGGGUUGGUUUCUUUCCCCUUCCCUCUUCCCACAACUCCCCCCCCCACCCCCCCUCCCCCAUUCCCCCCGGGAUAUCUGUGUUUAAAUAGAUGCUGAAGAUAUUUCUGAGUUCACGGGAAAGAAGGAAGGUUAGUUAAGGGAAUGGCAGCGCGCCUGGCAGGUAUUUUAAUGACUGUCCCUUCCUUUGAACACUUUCAAUUUCUCUGCUUCUUGUACAGAAUAUGUUUCCCAAACCAAGUAUGAUUUCUGUUGUAACUCUUGUGUGUGAUUGUGAUCCCUUCUGAGGUAAAUUGAGAAGUACGCUGCGCAAAAGGAGGAAAUCGCCCCUGGGGUGCUUUGUUUACUUUGGUUUGUAAAAUCCUGCUAGGAGAUGGUUUCCUCAGUGUGUGGCAAGUGUUUCUUCAAGAAAUUCAUCAGCCCUUCUACAAUUACUUCGAGCUCCGAGGGAAGAAAGCUGCCAUCACUUUCUCACAUCACAAGGUGUUGCAUGGGGGAGAGAAGAAAAGGCUGGAGCAUUUAAUUAUAAUGGGGAGGGGGGUGUGGGGAGAGCGGAGGCUGCAGAAAGCCGUCCCAAGCCUGUACCUGGAAAAGAAAAACCUGCAAGGGUAUACUUGGGAAGCGUGUGCCAUUUAGACAUGGGGAAAAGUACCCCGUCUUGUGCAGUAAUUAGUCUGAACAAUAAACAUAAUUGGAACAAAA